GAUGAACGCUGGCGGCGUGCCUAAUACAUGCAAGUCGAGCGAACGGACGAGAAGCUUGCUUUUCUGAUGUUAGCGGCGGACGGGUGAGUAACACGUGGAUAACCUACCUAUAAGACUGGGAUAACUUCGGGAAACCGGAGCUAAUACCGGAUAAUAUUUUGAACCGCAUGGUUCAAAAGUGAAAGACGGUCUUGCUGUCACUUAUAGAUGGAUCCGCGCUGCAUUAGCUAGUUGGUAAGGUAACGGCUUACCACGGCAACGAUGCAUAGCCGACCUGAGAGGGUGAUCGGCCACACUGGAGCUGAGACACGGUCAAGACUCCUACGGGAGGCAGCAGUAGGGAAUCGUCCGCAAUGGGCGAAAGCCUGACGGAGCAGCGCCGCGUGAGUGAUGAAGGUCUUCGGAUCGUAAAACUCUGUUAUGAGGGAAGAACAGAUGUGUAAGUAACUGUGGACAGCUUGACGGUACCUAAUCAGAAAGCCACGGCUAACUACGUG
Molecule: ribosomal RNA, 497 nt
Filed under: uncultured bacterium
Lineage: Bacteria
Description: partial 16S ribosomal RNA
Rfam family: Bacterial small subunit ribosomal RNA
Source: RNAcentral